UUCCUUUGACCCGCCCCGCACGAUCUCCUCUUUCCCCAACGAACCAGAGACCCGCAGCGCCGCCGUCCCUGCCUAGCGCUCGCUCGCGACGCCUCUCCUACUCCUCGUCUCACCCCCAUUGCCGUCGAUCCUUCCCCAGCCACCGCCCUGUACCGUACGUGCGAGCAGGUCAGGUGGCGGCUCCGAGAUCCGCCAAGGGCAUGGACCUGGUGCUCCAUCUCCAUGGCACUGGCUCCCAGAUUCGCCCAGGGGCUGGACCUGGAGCUCAUCUCCUCCAUGGCGUCGGCUUCCAGAUUCGCCCAUGGGUUGGACCUGGUGCUCCAUCUCCAUGGCGAGUUGGUUGUAUCCCCACGUCUACUUCUGCUCGGUCGACGACGCCAUCCGCGCGUGCUUCUGCUGCUCGUAUAGGUGCACGCACCACCGGCGCUCCCGAAUCAAGCAGGUGACGUAGCGGCCCUCCCAGAUCCACGACGAGCUGCGUCUGGCUCGUCCUCGUGGCUGUCAGCCACGUCCUCGACAAGGGUCACAUCUGGCCGUGACCAAGUGAGGCCCCGGAUCUGCACUCACUAUGAGGGGGCGGCGGCACCGAGAGGAUUCUCACGCAGCCGUCUUCCACCUUAUUCGUCCGGUUCCAGAUCAUCUUCAUCCGAAGCAAAAUAAUAGGUUGACUCAGGCAGUCUUUUUCCGCUGCAACAGCCAUGCACAGAUGGUUCUGCCCGGUGGAUGCAGUUUCUGUUCUUCCAAUUUCCACGUGCUAGCAUUCCAAUGUCAAGUGCUCCCUCCGUCCCAAAAUAAGUGACUCAACUUUGUACUAGCUUUAGUACAAAGUUAGUACAAAGUUGAGUCACUUAUUUUGGGACGGAGGGAGUAUAAUUCUUGAACUGCAUAAGCUAAACUAUGUUAGUUCCAUGAUCAACUUGUAUAUGCAGUCCAAGCCUUCUAAAAUGAUUGCCUUUACUAUCCAUGUCUUGAUGUGAUUUGUUCUUAAAACGGUUUGCUAGAUAGAUCCAAACGGUGGUUUUGUGUACAAUAGUUUUGCAUUGUAUGAGCUAAAUUCUGUUGUCCAUCAGCAUGUUUGACUUGUCAUUUAUGUGGAAGUUUGAUGGUAACAUUAUAAGUUGUGUAUGCAAUGGUACCUGGAAGGCUGCACUGCUUAACCAGCUUGUUGUUAGAAUUGUUUCAGUAAUUGAUUUUUCCUUAACUCAGCUCGUUUAAGAUCUAUGCUAGUAUGUGAUCUGCGUAUAGAUAUGAGUUACAUCCCAGCCAUUUUAACUAUGAUUGGUUGUAUUACUUUAGAUUUGACGGUGAAAGUGCAUUUGUUAACUAUAUUCUAAUGCUCUCAUAUGUAAGGAAAGCAUGGGUUAACUCAUCCUUAUUGAUAGAUCCUCUCUUUUAAUUAAUAAUGUAUGCAUCCUUGUAUGUUCUCUGUUCUUUACUAUAUUGUUCUGGCCUCAGGCAAUUAAACAUUGUAUCUGUUUUUGUUGUGAUAUGCAACUCUUCAAAAAAAGAAACCGUAUUAUGGUAUUACUCAUCUGCAUGGAAUUUCUAUGUAUUCUAGUAGUUUAUUUUUGAUACUGUAUUGUUGUAUUCCCGAUCUGCGUUGGACCGAUGCUCGAUUUGUUCCUAUUUUUGUUUCAGUACUAGUACAAUGUAAUGAAUUCGUGCUUUCAUGAAGUAUUUUGCGCUAUUUUUAUCCGUCGAGCAAUUUAGAAGACUUGUAGAGCAUUUAACUAGACAGUUGAAUUUGCAUUUGCAACUAUGCUUGCUUAGAGCAGCCCUUGACUGGUUAUAUUAUUGCGAUGGCCUGUGCUGUUCUUAGUUGUGCUACAGUAUGUGUUUCGUGUUGUUUGCACUUGUUAGCCAAAUCAUUGCACACACAGUGUUAAUGCGAUGUUGCGGGUUUGUGACCUAGGAUUUCAGCCGAAUUCCUGUUUGUACAAUGUAUCUGGUACAUGUUGUUUUCAUCUUAAUAGCUAGCAGCCUAGCACCAUGAACGUUGAUUGUGAAAUCUCUAUAUGCUGUAAAAUUAAUUGGGUUAGUCUCGAACUUGUUGUGAAUUGUAAGAUGCUUUAAGUAAAUGUUUUUUGCCUUCUUGCGUGUAGGCGGUCAGGCGAGACAGCAAAUAGAGGUUCAGUCUGUUGGAGGAGUAUGGCGAGCUGCUGAUUCGGGCUAACCAGGGGCACACUGUGGCAGGCGACCAUAUUAGCUCAGUCCUGACUAUGAGCAGGAGCAGGUGCAUUUUCCUGUUUGUAAUGCUAUCGAAGGAGCUCCAUCCUGAAGAAUCUAGUGCUUGUAGAGCUUGUAAAUUAGUUACUCCACUUGUAGAGUUAUUUGUAGAGCAGGAGCACCAUUGUAUUACGUGUUAUUUGUAGAGCAGGAGCUCCAUACAGAAUUUGGCUCUAUACUGAA
Molecule: long non-coding RNA, 2409 nt
Organism: Triticum dicoccoides
Lineage: Eukaryota; Viridiplantae; Streptophyta; Magnoliopsida; Poales; Poaceae
Exons: 4
Source: RefSeq, a predicted model, not a curated record